GCGACCCCAGGUCAGGCGGGACUACCCGCUGAGUUUAAGCAUAUCAUAAAGCCGGAGGAAA
Molecule: ribosomal RNA, 61 nt
Filed under: Centaurea cyanoides
Lineage: Eukaryota; Viridiplantae; Streptophyta; Magnoliopsida; Asterales; Asteraceae
Description: partial 26S ribosomal RNA
Source: RNAcentral